This 406-nucleotide ribosomal RNA is filed under the name uncultured bacterium. RNAcentral describes it as "partial 16S ribosomal RNA". It matches the Rfam family "Bacterial small subunit ribosomal RNA", at positions 29 to 526 of the family's 1533-position model. The record is from RNAcentral.
AUUGAACGCUGGCGGCAGGCCUAACACAUGCAAGUCGAACGAGUGGCGGACGGGUGAGUAAUGUCUGGGAAACUGCCUGAUGGAGGGGGAUAACUACUGGAAACGGUAGCUAAUACCGCAUACCAUCGGAUGUGCCCAGAUGGGAUUAGCUAGUAGGUGGGGUAAAGGCCCACCUAGGCGACGAUCCCUAGCUGGUCGGAGAGGAUGACCAGCCCCACGGGACCUGAGCCGCGGCCCGGACUCCAACGGUAGGAAGCGGUGGGGAAUUUGGCACAAGGGGCGCAAGCAUGUGGCGACCAUGCCGCGUGUAUGAAGAGGGCCUUGGGGUUUUAAAGUAUUUUCAGCGGGGAGGCGUUACCCGAAGAAGAAGCACCGACGAACUCCGUGCCAGCAGCCGCGGUAAUUC